GUUUGGAUAAGGCAGUAGAUGAGGUUAAGGGUUCCUGUGGUGGUUUAUUUGGUGAGACUGGGCAUGAUUCAGAAAAGUUGGAAGAUCUAGAGAGGGAUCUUGCAAUCUGAAGUUUCUUGUUUAGUCACUGGAGGAUCUGAACGUCUAUGACACUCUUUCGAGCUGACACAGUGAAGAACAUGGAAGGAGAACUCACCCAGUCUGCCAGGGUCACAGAUGAUCAUACUCAAGAUCUUCCUGGGGAGUCAAUGGCAAAUUUCACUGGGCUAUUUUACAGAUGAAGAAGGAACAUAAAGAAGGUUCUGGGACCCU
Molecule: small RNA, 312 nt
Filed under: Pan troglodytes (chimpanzee)
Lineage: Eukaryota; Metazoa; Chordata; Mammalia; Primates; Hominidae
Description: processed transcript
Source: RNAcentral